ACACUCUAAAAAACGCUGGGUUGUUUUUUCAACCCAACUGCUGGGUUGAGGCCGUUGGAUAGGACUUUGGGAUGUUUUAACCCAAGUUUGGGUUGAAAAUAACUAUCUUUUUUAACCCAGCGGGGUGGGUUGAGGACGCGGACGUGAAGGAGAGCACGCACGUCACGUCAAAAUCUUACGUCUCCAGUGCGAGCAGCCGGCAUUUUCUCAGCGUGAUAGAAGCGAGAAGCGAGUGAAAGACUAUGACUUGUCCAGCUCCUGUCUUCAUUGUCCUCGCGCUGAGAGUUAAAGACACAGAAGCUGUUUGUGUGAGGAGUCACAGACCUGUGUGAGGAUGAGGAGGAGGUGUUCUUCUGAAGAGAGGGACAGACGGUUUAAGGAGAGUAAACUUCAGAAUAACAUCAAGUUAUCUUUAUUUUUACUAAGACUAAAAUAAUGUGUGUGUUUUUUUUAGAUGUUGAAAUCCAGAGACAAGAUAACUUCAUUCUUCUGAGACUGAUAACUCAAACUAACUGGAGUUAAGGACACACAAGUCUGCUUGUGUGAGGAGGAGGUUUUCUCAGCUUCUUCUGAAGAGAGGGAAAGAUCGUUUAAG
This is a long non-coding RNA of Carassius gibelio (silver crucian carp), 595 nucleotides long. RefSeq lists it as uncharacterized. The record is from RefSeq and is a predicted model, not a curated record. NCBI's taxonomy places the organism in Eukaryota, Metazoa, Chordata, Actinopteri, Cypriniformes, Cyprinidae. The transcript is spliced from 3 exons.